GCUUUUUUAGCUAGUUAGCGCUAAAUUGUAAAUUUAGAGACGGGAUUCCCAUUGAGCAUUAG
This 62-nucleotide transfer RNA is filed under the name Scutopus robustus. Its description in RNAcentral is "tRNA-Tyr". The record is from RNAcentral. Lineage: Eukaryota; Metazoa; Mollusca; Caudofoveata; Limifossorida; Scutopodidae.